Molecule: ribosomal RNA, 468 nt
Filed under: uncultured bacterium
Lineage: Bacteria
Description: partial 16S ribosomal RNA
Rfam family: Bacterial small subunit ribosomal RNA
Source: RNAcentral
GACGAACGCUGGCGGCGUGCUUAACACAUGCAAGUCGAACGGAAAGGCCCUGCUUUUGUGGGGUGCUCGAGUGGCGAACGGGUGAGUAACACGUGAGUAACCUGCCCUUGACUUUGGUAUAACUUCAGGAAACUGGGGCUAAUACCGUAUAGGAGCUCCUGCUGCAUGGUGGGGGUUGGAAAUUUUCGGCGGUUGGGGAUGGACUCGCGGCUUAUCAGCUUGUUGGUGGGGUAGUGGCUUACCAAGGCUUUGACGGGUAGCCGGCCUGAGAGGGUGACCGGCCACAUUGGGACUGAGAUACGGCCCAGACUCCUACGGGAGGCAGCAGUGGGGAAUAUUGCACAAUGGGCGGAAGCCUGAUGCAGCAACGCCGCGUGCGGGAUGACGGCCUUCGGGUUGUAAACCGCUUUCGCCUGUGACGAAGCGUGAGUGACGGUAAUGGGUAAAGAAGCACCGGCUAACUACGUG